Molecule: ribosomal RNA, 231 nt
Filed under: Vannella robusta
Lineage: Eukaryota; Discosea; Flabellinia; Vannellidae
Description: Vannella sp. CB-2014 partial Bacterial large subunit ribosomal RNA
Rfam family: Bacterial large subunit ribosomal RNA
Source: RNAcentral
AGGAACUCGGCAAAUUGACACCGUAACUUCGGAAGAAGGUGUGCCUUUAGUAGGUGUAGUUGUACAAACGAAGCCCAAUGAGGCCGCAGAGAAUCGGUGGCUGCAACUGUUUAUUAAAAACACAGCACUCUGCAAAGACGAAAGUCGACGUAUAGGGUGUGACUCCUGCCCGGUGCUGGAAGAUUAAAUGAUGGGGUGCAAGCUCUUGAGUGAAGUCCCAGUAAACGGCGG